This 497-nucleotide ribosomal RNA is filed under the name uncultured bacterium. RNAcentral's name for it is "partial 16S ribosomal RNA". It matches the Rfam family "Bacterial small subunit ribosomal RNA", at positions 28 to 507 of the family's 1533-position model. The record is from RNAcentral.
GAUGAACGCUGGCGGCGUGCCUAAUACAUGCAAGUCGAGCGAACAGACGAGGAGCUUGCUCCUCUGACGUUAGCGGCGGACGGGUGAGUAACACGUGGAUAACCUACCUAUAAGACUGUGAUAACUUCGGGAAACCGGAGCUAAUACCGGAUAAUAUAUUGAACCGCAUGGUUCAAUAGUGAAAGACGGUUUUGCUGUCACUUAUAGAUGGAUCCGCGCCGCAUUAGCUAGUUGGUAAGGUAACGGCUUACCAAGGCAACGAUGCGUAGCCGACCUGAGAGGGUGGACGACCACACUGGAACUGAGACACGGUCCAGACUCCGACGGGAGGCAGCAGUAGGGAAUCUUACGCAAUGGGCGAGAGCCUGACGGAGCAAAGCCGCGUGAGUGAUGAAGGUGUUAGGAUCGUAAAACUCUGUUAUUAGGGAAGAACAAAUGUGUAAGUAACGAUGAACGUAUUGACGGUACCUAAUGAGAAAGCCACGGCUAACUACGUG